Molecule: long non-coding RNA, 334 nt
Filed under: Pan troglodytes (chimpanzee)
Lineage: Eukaryota; Metazoa; Chordata; Mammalia; Primates; Hominidae
Description: long non-coding RNA NONPTRT009189
Source: RNAcentral
CCUGGACCUGGGAAUCCUGGUUAUGGGAGAAACAGCACUAUAUAUUGAAUGCUGAUUCAAAACAUAUACAGCCAUCCACAGACAGGGUCAUCCUAUCCAGUUGAUUAUUAACUUCCUCCUGUGCUGAGGUCAUCCUUCUGGAGCACUGAUAUACCCUGAGGCAGGACAGUGCAGGUGUACUGCUGGCCUUCCCACUUAAAAGCAAACUGCUUCUGGUGGGCUUUAUUAACAGAGAGGGAGAAAAAACAUUUGCUAGAUCAAUGGCUGCGUCUGUCUUUCUGUCCAUCUGUCAUGCAUUUUAAGGCACUUUAAGGUGACACUCAAAAUGGAAAUA